Molecule: ribosomal RNA, 116 nt
Filed under: Esox lucius (northern pike)
Lineage: Eukaryota; Metazoa; Chordata; Actinopteri; Esociformes; Esocidae
Source: RNAcentral
GCUUACGGCCACAACCUCCCUGAGCACGCCCGAUCUCGUCUGAUCUCGAGCUAAGCAGGGUCGGGCCGGUUAGUACUUGGAUGGAGACCGCCUGGGAAUACCAGGUGCUGUAAGCC